This is a small nuclear RNA of Telopea speciosissima, 197 nucleotides long. RefSeq annotates it as U2 spliceosomal RNA. The transcript has a single exon. The record is from RefSeq and is a predicted model, not a curated record. NCBI's taxonomy places the organism in Eukaryota, Viridiplantae, Streptophyta, Magnoliopsida, Proteales, Proteaceae.
AUACCGUUCGCAGCCUUUUGGCUAAGAUCAAGUGUAGUAUCUGUUCUUAUCAGUGUAAUAUCUGAUCCGUGGAUCAUAGAUUCACAGGAUAUUAAAUUAAUUUUUCUUAGCGGGAGGGCCCACUACAGUAGAUUGCUAUUGGGGUCCUUAAGGAUCGUCCAUGUGUUAUGCUACUAUACGGAUCUGGCGCACCUCUA